GCGCGAUUUCGGGCGACCACCAGUAAU
Molecule: small RNA, 27 nt
Filed under: Bombyx mori (domestic silkworm)
Lineage: Eukaryota; Metazoa; Arthropoda; Insecta; Lepidoptera; Bombycidae
Description: ovarian small RNA-16889
Source: RNAcentral